Molecule: ribosomal RNA, 253 nt
Filed under: uncultured bacterium
Lineage: Bacteria
Description: partial 16S ribosomal RNA
Rfam family: Bacterial small subunit ribosomal RNA
Source: RNAcentral
UACGUAGGGGGCUAGCGUUGUCCGGAAUCAUUGGGCGUAAAGAGCGUGUAGGCGGCCAGGUAGGUCCGUUGUGAAAACUCGAGGCUCAACCUCGAGACGUCGAUGGAAACCAUCUGGCUAGAGUCCGGAAGAGGAGAGUGGAAUUCCUGGUGUAGCGGUGAAAUGCGCAGAUAUCAGGAAGAACACCUAUGGCGAAGGCAGCUCUCUGGGACGGUACUGACGCUGAGACGCGAAAGCGUGGGGAGCGAACAGG